UUCUGUUACAUUUUAUCAGUUCUUUUUGGUAGCUUGUGCUCAAAAUGCUGAACUGGUGACACCCUAUGGAUCAUGAAGUUGCAACCUUGAUGGCAAGCAUAAAGGACUGAGUGGUGAGGAGGAAAAACUACUUUCAAAGUAUGUCUGCUGUUGAAGCAGAAGCUGAAUUCUCAAGUGGUGGAAAUCAGCACAGCUCCAGUCAAAAUGAAUAGACUUUGAUUCACUCCAAGUGCAGAUAUCAAGCAUGGCAUUGACAAAACCCAGACAAGAAGAAGGAAAACCUGAAAUGCUGCACAGCCUCACCUCCUCCAGAACUUGCAAAAGCCCAACCAAAAGGAAGAAAAUCUGUGGUUGGAGAAUGGGGUGAGCAGACAGGAAACAGCUGCUUUCCAUGAGUUGUCACCCCACCAACCCCACAAGGUCCUGAGUCAGUAUUCCCUUUUGUAUGGUCAGCUUUCAUGGCAUUGAAACUUUUGCCACUCCUUCUCAAAGGAGACAGCUGUGGAGACAGUGACCAUUUGGAGGGGCACUUCUGGGCUAGGGACAGACAUUACAC
Long non-coding RNA from Gavialis gangeticus (Gharial), 556 nucleotides. RefSeq lists it as uncharacterized. Lineage: Eukaryota; Metazoa; Chordata; Crocodylia; Gavialidae. The record is from RefSeq and is a predicted model, not a curated record. The transcript is spliced from 3 exons.